AUUGAACGCUGGCGGCAUGCUUUACACAUGCAAGUCGAACGGUAGAGGGGGCAACCCCUUGAGAGUGGCGAACGGGUGAGUAAUGCAUCGGAACGUGCCCAGUAGUGGGGGAUAGCCCGGCGAAAGCCGGAUUAAUACCGCAUACGACCUUAGGGUGAAAGCGGGGGAUCGCAAGACCUCGCGCUACUGGAGCGGCCGAUGUCAGAUUAGGUAGUUGGUGGGGUAAAGGCCUACCAAGCCGACGAUCUGUAGCUGGUCUGAGAGGACGACCAGCCACACUGGGACUGAGACACGGCCCAGACUCCUACGGGAGGCAGCAGUGGGGAAUUUUGGACAAUGGGCGCAAGCCUGAUCCAGCCAUGCCGCGUGCGGGAAGAAGGCCUUCGGGUUGUAAACCGCUUUUGUCAGGGAAGAAAUCUUCUGGGCUAAUACCCUGGGAGGAUGACGGUACCUGAAGAAUAAGCACCGGCUAACUACGUGCCAGCCGCCGCCGUAA
RNAcentral lists this ribosomal RNA (496 nucleotides) under uncultured bacterium. RNAcentral describes it as "partial 16S ribosomal RNA". It matches the Rfam family "Bacterial small subunit ribosomal RNA", at positions 29 to 523 of the family's 1533-position model. The record is from RNAcentral.